RNAcentral lists this ribosomal RNA (423 nucleotides) under Streptomyces sp. RNAcentral's name for it is "bacterial SSU rRNA". It matches the Rfam family "Bacterial small subunit ribosomal RNA", at positions 348 to 783 of the family's 1533-position model. Lineage: Bacteria; Bacillati; Actinomycetota; Actinomycetes; Kitasatosporales; Streptomycetaceae. The record is from RNAcentral.
GCAGCAGUGGGGAAUAUUGCACAAUGGGCGGAAGCCUGAUGCAGCGACGCCGCGUGAGGGAUGACGGCCUUCGGGUUGUAAACCUCUUUCAGCAGGGAAGAAGCGAGAGUGACGGUACCUGCAGAAGAAGCACCGGCUGACUACGUGCCAGCAGCCGCGGUAAUACGUAGGGUGCGAGCGUUGUCCGGAAUUAUUGGGCGUAAAGAGCUCGUAGGCGGCGUGUCACGUCGGAUGUGAAAGCCCGGGGCUUAACCCCGGGUCUGCAUUCGAUACGGGCUCGCUAGAGUUCGGUAGGGGAGAUCGGAAUUCCUGGUGUAGCGGUGAAAUGCGCAGAUAUCAGGAGGAACACCGGUGGCGAAGGCGGAUCUCUGGGCCGAUACUGACGCUGAGGAGCGAAAGCGUGGGGAGCGAACAGGAUUAGAU